AGGCGCAGCCCUCCUCCACCUCAUCAAUUCCAACCUCCGGUGGUUUCUUCUCCUCCUCCGGCCCCGGUCAACUCUCCACCACCACCUCCUCCUCCACCUGUUCACUCUCCGCCACCACCGGUUCACUCUCCACCACCACCUGUUCACUCUCCGCCACCGCCAGUCCACUCUCCUCCACCGCCACCGCCUGUUCACUCUCCUCCACCGCCUGUCUUUUCGCCACCGCCACCGCCUGUCCACUCACCUCCACCGCCACCACCUCCAGUCUACUCUCCACCGCCGCCACCUCCAGUAAAUUCCCCACCGCCACCUGUUCACUCACCGCCGCCCCCAGUCCAUUCGCCACCACCCCCUCCGGUUCACUCACCGCCGCCACCGGUUCAUUCCCCACCGCCACCAGCACCUGUUC
RNAcentral lists this long non-coding RNA (409 nucleotides) under Arabidopsis lyrata. Its description in RNAcentral is "long non-coding RNA (ALYR_LNC000766)". The record is from RNAcentral. Lineage: Eukaryota; Viridiplantae; Streptophyta; Magnoliopsida; Brassicales; Brassicaceae.